GUUGGGCACAGUGGUACGUGCCUGUAGUCCCUGUUACCCGGGAGGCUGAGGAAGGAGGAUUGCUUGAGCCCAGGAGUUCUGGCUCAUAGAGCACUAUGCCCAUUGGGUGUCCACACUAAGGUUGGCAUCAGUAUCAUGACCUCCUGGGAGUGGGGGACCACCAGGUUGCCCAAGGAGGGGUGAACCAGCCCAGGUCAGAAACAAAGUAGGUGAAAACUCCUGUGCUGAUCAGUAAUGGGAUGGUGCCUGUGAACAGCCACUGCACUUCAACCUGGGGAACAUGGCAAGACCCCAUCUCUA
RNAcentral lists this signal recognition particle RNA (300 nucleotides) under Callithrix jacchus (white-tufted-ear marmoset). RNAcentral describes it as "Metazoan signal recognition particle RNA (ENSCJAG00000078396.1)". It matches the Rfam family "Metazoan signal recognition particle RNA". Rfam says of the family: The signal recognition particle (SRP) is a universally conserved ribonucleoprotein. It is involved in the co-translational targeting of proteins to membranes. Lineage: Eukaryota; Metazoa; Chordata; Mammalia; Primates; Cebidae. The record is from Rfam by way of RNAcentral.